UCCCUAGUGGCUCAGAUGGUAAAGCGUCUGCCUGCAAUGCGGGAGACCAGGGUUCGAUUCCUGGGUCGGGAA
This 72-nucleotide transfer RNA is filed under the name Bos taurus (domestic cattle). It matches the Rfam family "tRNA". Rfam says of the family: Transfer RNA (tRNA) molecules are approximately 80 nucleotides in length. Their secondary structure includes four short double-helical elements and three loops (D, anti-codon, and T loops). RNAcentral also lists the same sequence under 1 other name. Lineage: Eukaryota; Metazoa; Chordata; Mammalia; Artiodactyla; Bovidae. The record is from Rfam by way of RNAcentral.